Molecule: ribosomal RNA, 458 nt
Filed under: uncultured bacterium
Lineage: Bacteria
Description: partial 16S ribosomal RNA
Rfam family: Bacterial small subunit ribosomal RNA
Source: RNAcentral
CCUACGGGAGGCAGCAGUGAGGAAUAUUGGUCAAUGGGCGAGAGCCUGAACCAGCCAAGUCGCGUGAGGGAGUACUGCCCUAUGGGUUGUAAACCUCUUUUGUCGGGGAGCAAAAGCCGGACGUGUCCGGCUGUGAGAGUACCCGAAGAAAAAGCAUCGGCUAACUCCGUGCCAGCAGCCGCGGUAAUACGGAGGAUGCGAGCGUUAUCCGGAUUUAUUGGGUUUAAAGGGUGCGCAGGCGGAUUUUUAAGUCAGCGGUAAAAUCGUGGGGCAAAACCCCAUCCAGCCGUUGAAACUGGGGAUCUAGAGUGUGCGAGAGGUAUGCGGAAUGCGUGGUGUAGCGGUGAAAUGCAUAGAUAUCACGCAGAACCCCGAUUGCGAAGGCAGCAUACCGGUGCACAACUGACGCUCGGGCACGAAAGCGUGGGUAUCGAACAGGAUUAGAUACCCGAGUAGUC